UAUUCGGGGAGACGAGGUGGUGCAGUGGUUGUCGUCAGCUCGUGUCGUGAGAUGUUCGGGUUAAGUCCCGCAACGAGCCGCAACCCUAUUGCUAGUUACCAUCAGUUAAGUUGGGGACUCUAGCGAGACUGCCAGUGAUAAACUGGAGGAAGGUGGGGAUGACGUCAAAUCAUCAUGCCCCUUAUGACCUGGGCUACAAACGUGAUACAAUGGCUGGAACAAGGGAUGCGAAGCAGUGAUGUGGAGCGAAACCCAUAAAAACAGUCUCAGUUCGGAUUGAAGUCUGCAACUCGACUUCAUGAAGUCGGAAUCGCUAGUAAUCGCGGAUCAGAACGCCGCGGUGAAUACGUUCUCGGGGUUU
RNAcentral lists this ribosomal RNA (361 nucleotides) under uncultured Acholeplasma sp. RNAcentral's name for it is "bacterial SSU rRNA". It matches the Rfam family "Bacterial small subunit ribosomal RNA", at positions 1022 to 1382 of the family's 1533-position model. Lineage: Bacteria; Bacillati; Mycoplasmatota; Mollicutes; Acholeplasmatales; Acholeplasmataceae. The record is from RNAcentral.